RNAcentral lists this ribosomal RNA (439 nucleotides) under uncultured bacterium. Its description in RNAcentral is "partial 16S ribosomal RNA". It matches the Rfam family "Bacterial small subunit ribosomal RNA", at positions 339 to 795 of the family's 1533-position model. The record is from RNAcentral.
CUACGGGCGGCACCAGUGGGGAAUAUUGCACAAUGGAGGAAACUCUGAUGCAGCAACGCCGCGUGGAGGAUGACACUUUUCGGAGCGUAAACUCCUUUUAUAUAGGAAGAAGAUGACGGUACUAUAUGAAUAAGCGCCGGCUAACUCCGUGCCAGCAGCCGCGGUAAUACGGAGGGCGCAAGCGUUACUCGGAAUCACUGGGCGUAAAGAGCGUGUAGGCGGAUUAAAAAGUCAGAAGUGAAAUCCUAUAGCUUAACUAUAGAACUGCUUCUGAAACUCUUAAUCUAGAAUGUGGGAGAGGUAGAUGGAAUUUCUGGUGUAGGGGUAAAAUCCGUAGAGAUCAGAAGGAAUACCGAUUGCGAAGGCGAUCUACUAGAACAUUAUUGACGCUAAGGCGUGAAAGCGUGGGGAGCAAACAGGAUUAGAUACCCGCGUAGUC